CACGUAGGGGGCAAGCGUUGUCCGGAUUCAUUGGGCGUAAAGAGCUCGUAGGCGGUUCGAUAAGUCGGGUGUGAAACCUCCAGGCUCAACCUGGAGACGCCACCCGAUACUGUCGUGACUAGAGUCCAGUAGGGGAGCGUGGAAUUCCUGGUGUAGCGGUGAAAUGCGCAGAUAUCAGGAAGAACACCAAUGGCGAAAGCAGCUCUCUGGGACGGUACUGACGCUGAGACGCGAAAGCGUGGGGAGCGAACAGG
RNAcentral lists this ribosomal RNA (254 nucleotides) under uncultured bacterium. RNAcentral's name for it is "partial 16S ribosomal RNA". It matches the Rfam family "Bacterial small subunit ribosomal RNA", at positions 524 to 776 of the family's 1533-position model. The record is from RNAcentral.